UACACACCUACAAGGUGUCUGCUGUGGGGCAGCUACUGUAGCAGGCAUGAGGACUACAGAGAGAAAAAUAAGUACUCUAUGCGCUGAAAAUGCUUAGAGUCCCAGCCAGGGACACACCCAAAGAGGAGCAGCUUUAGUUCAAAGCAUGUGGAUGCCGGGUUAGUUGCCAGUUCUGACUGUAAAGUCUCAGACUUACCCACCUGCCCUUUCUGAGAGUUCUUGAUUGGAGACGAUCUGGGGGAUCAUAUCCAGAUGACAGCCAGCAUGUCUCUGAUAUUGACAGACUCCUCUUAUAGGUGUAAGUAAAAAGUUCUAAGUGACAUCUGCAUCUGAAUUAGGGCUGCCUUCUCCUCCCUGCUGUCCUCUCUCCUGGGUUCUCCAUUAGAUCUUCCAGAACAGAAACAUGGAGUUCAGUUGGCAGUGGAAGUGAUUUCACCCCAGCCUCGACCUUGGUGUCUACUGGGCGGUGUCUCCGCUCAGGCCCAGCCUCUGGGUUUAAGAUACCAGAGUAAAAUGUUGAUGUUAUUGUAAGUGCGUAGAAAGAAAAAGAGGUGGUAAUGCUGGCAGAAAUUAC
This 574-nucleotide long non-coding RNA is filed under the name Homo sapiens (human). RNAcentral describes it as "non-protein coding lnc-GPR26-9:4". The record is from RNAcentral. Lineage: Eukaryota; Metazoa; Chordata; Mammalia; Primates; Hominidae.